RNAcentral lists this ribosomal RNA (366 nucleotides) under uncultured bacterium. Its description in RNAcentral is "bacterial SSU rRNA". It matches the Rfam family "Bacterial small subunit ribosomal RNA", at positions 441 to 793 of the family's 1533-position model. The record is from RNAcentral.
AGGAAGGUAGUGUAGUUAACACCUGCAUUAUUUGACGUUACCUUACAGAAGAAGCGCCGGCUAACUCCGUGCCAGCAGCCGCGGUAAUACGGAGGGUGCGAGCGUUAAUCGGAAUUACUGGGCGUAAAGCGCAUGCAGGCGGCCUGUUAAGUCAGAUGUGAAAGACCCGGGGCGUUAAACCUCGGAAUUGCAUUUGUAAACUAGGCAGGCUAGAGUCUUGUAGAGGGGGGUAGGAAGUUUCAGGUGUAGCGGUGAAAUGCGUAGAGAUCUGAAGGAAUACCAGUGGCGAAGGCGGCCCCCCUGGACAAAGACUGACGCUCAGAUGCGAAAAGCGUGGGGAGCAAACAGGAUUAGAUACCCUGGUAG